UUUUUCCUGUGAGAUUUCUCAUUUAUGGACAUGCAUGUGUGUGUUGAAUGGGCUCUAGCCGACAUCUGGACACCUACUGGUGCUGUUAUUGUCUCCUUGUCCUCUUUUGCUGACCUGCCUAUUUAUUCCACUGUGGGCGUGUAUGCUUCGACAUUUCAGAGGUGGCGCCUUCUCCUGGCCCCCAUGUUUUUCCCGCCUGCACACCUGGAAGUAAUUGAUGCUUCCAGCCAUUGUGGAUCUGUGGAGAGAAAAAAAGAAAAUCUGCAGAGAGAAAGAAACUUGUGAAGCAAAGUAGUUUUCAAACAGCCUUUGUUUAUUCACCUGUCUGCCCCCUUGCUUGCCACCCGGAAGGAAGACAUUCAAACAAUUCACAAGUCGCAAGUCAGUCUUUGACUGUGGAAAA
This is a long non-coding RNA of Oreochromis aureus, 403 nucleotides long. RefSeq lists it as uncharacterized. The transcript has 3 exons. NCBI's taxonomy places the organism in Eukaryota, Metazoa, Chordata, Actinopteri, Cichliformes, Cichlidae. The record is from RefSeq and is a predicted model, not a curated record.